Molecule: ribosomal RNA, 774 nt
Filed under: uncultured Neocallimastigales
Lineage: Eukaryota; Fungi; Neocallimastigomycota; Neocallimastigomycetes; Neocallimastigales
Description: partial large subunit ribosomal RNA
Rfam family: Eukaryotic large subunit ribosomal RNA
Source: RNAcentral
UCAGACGAUGCGUCAUGCAUAUCAAUAAGCGGAGGAAAAGAAACUAACAAGGAUUCCCUCAGUAACGGCGAGUGAAGCGGGAAGAGCUCAAAUUUGAAAUCUUGAAAGGUCACCUUUCACGAAUUGUAGUUUAAAGAAGUGUUUUCUGUUACGAUCGUAAUAUAAGUUCUUUGGAAUAGGACAUCACAGAGGGUGAGAAUCCCGUCUGUGAUUGCGAUUUGUAGCUUUGUGAUACACUUUCAAAGAGUCGGGUUGUUUGGGAAUGCAGCCCAAAACGGGAGGUAAAUUUCUUCUAAGGCUAAAUAUUGGCGAGAGACCGAUAGCGAACAAGUACCGUGAGGGAAAGAUGAAAAGAACUUUGAAAAGAGAGUUAAAUAGUACGUGAAAUUGUCAAAAGGGAAGCGUUUAACACCAGUGUUGUUUUCUGAAAAUCAACCUCUGUUAGCUUUAUGCAUGUUUGUUUAGACCUAAUCAGCUAUCUUGCAUGUUCUAUUGUUUGCAGUGGUGCACUUUUCAGUUUACAGGUCAACAUCAGUUUUUUUUACCGUAAAAAAGUUAAAGAAAGGUAGCUCAUGGCUCCGGUCGUGAGUGUUAUAGUCUUUUUUCCACUAUGCGGUAGGAGAGACUGAGGUCUGCAGUGUAGGCUAUUUGGCUAGAUACUCAGGUGCUAUGUGAUACCAUUUCAUAAACAACUUGUUGAUUAUGUUUUGUCUAUUGCAUACUCGCUUGUACUAUCAUACCUACGCUUAGGAUGUUGAAGACUCUACAGAGAUA